GGGAAGUAUUUUUUCCGCCCCGCCCGGAAAGGGUGGAGCACAACGUCGAAAGCAGCCGUUGGGAGCCCAGGAGGCGGGGCGCCUGUGGGAGCCGUGGAGGGAACUUUCCCAGUCCCCGAGGCGGAUCCGGUGUUGCAUCCUUGGAGCGAGCUGAGAGCUCGAGUACAGAACCUGCUAAGGCCAUCAAACCUAUUGAUCGGAAGUCAGUCCAUCAGAUUUGCUCUGGGCCGGUGGUACCGAGUCUAAGCACUGCGGUGAAGGAGUUAGUAGAAAACAGUCUGGAUGCUGGUGCCACUAAUAUUGAUCUAAAGCUUAAGGACUAUGGAGUGGAUCUCAUUGAAGUUUCAGGCAAUGGAUGUGGGGUAGAAGAAGAAAACUUCGAAGGCUUAACUCUGAAACAUCACACAUCUAAGAUUCAAGAGUUUGCCGACCUACCUCAGGUUGAAACUUUUGGCUUUCGGGGGGAAGCUCUGAGCUCACUUUGUGCACUGAGAAACGUGCCUGCUUCCCCUUCGCCUUCUGCCGUGAUUGUCAGUUUCCUGAGGCCUCCCCAGCCAUGCUUCCUGUACAGCCUGCAGAACUGUGAGUCAAUUAAACCUGUUUUCUUCAUAAA
RNAcentral lists this long non-coding RNA (613 nucleotides) under Homo sapiens (human). Lineage: Eukaryota; Metazoa; Chordata; Mammalia; Primates; Hominidae. The record is from RNAcentral.